UGACCAGGCAAAACGAUCGCUGGGUGUUAAACCUGGAGGAAAGUCCGAACACCAUAGGACAGGACGCUCCAUAACAUGGAGUCACGGUGACGUGAAGGAAAGUGCAACAGAGAGUAGACCGCCGGUAUCGAUUCAGAUACAGGUAAGGGUGAAACGGUGCGGUAAGAGCGCACCAGUUUUCCGGGUGACUGGAAAAGCUUGGUAAACCCCGUCCGGUGCAAGACCAAAUAGGGAAACGUUUGAGGGUUGUCCGCCCAAGUUUUCGGGUAGGUUG
Molecule: non-coding RNA, 274 nt
Organism: Desulfobacula sp.
Lineage: Bacteria; Pseudomonadati; Thermodesulfobacteriota; Desulfobacteria; Desulfobacterales; Desulfobacteraceae
Source: Rfam